RNAcentral lists this ribosomal RNA (207 nucleotides) under uncultured bacterium. Its description in RNAcentral is "partial 16S ribosomal RNA". It matches the Rfam family "Bacterial small subunit ribosomal RNA", at positions 524 to 730 of the family's 1533-position model. The record is from RNAcentral.
GACGAACCGUGCGAACGUUGUUCGGAAUCACUGGGCUUAAAGGGCGCGUAGGCGGCAGUUCAAGUCCGGGGUGAAAUCCUCCAGCUCAACUGGAGAAGUGCCUUGGAUACUGGAUUGCUCGAGGGAGGUAGGGGUCGAGGGAACUUCUGGUGGAGCGGUGAAAUGCGUUGAUAUCAGAAGGAACGCCGGUGGCGAAAGCGCUCGACU